GAUGAACGCUGGCGGCGUGCCUAAUACAUGCAAGUCGAGCGAACGGACGAGAAGCUUGCUUCUCUGAUGUUAGCGGCGGACGGGUGAGUAACACGUGGAUAACCUACCUAUAAGACUGGGAUAACUUCGGGAAACCGGAGCUAAUACCGGAUGAUAUUUUGAACCGCAUGGUUCAAAAGUGAAAGACGGUCUUGCUGUCACUUAUAGAUGGAUCCGCGCUGCAUUAGCUAGUUGGUAAGGUAACGGCUUACCAAGGCAACGAUGCAUAGCCGACCUGAGAGGGUGAUCGGCCACACUGGAACUGAGACACGGUCCAGACUCCUACGGGAGGCAGCAGUAGGGAAUCUUCCGCAAUGGGCGAAAGCCUGACGGAGCAACGCCGCGUGAGUGAUGAAGGUCUUCGGAUCGUAAAACUCUGUUAUAGGGAAGAACAUAUGUGUAAGUAACUGUGCACACCUUGACGGUACCUAAUCAGAAAGCCACGGCUAACUACGUG
Molecule: ribosomal RNA, 496 nt
Filed under: uncultured bacterium
Lineage: Bacteria
Description: partial 16S ribosomal RNA
Rfam family: Bacterial small subunit ribosomal RNA
Source: RNAcentral